UACGGGGGGGGUAAGCGUUGUUCGGAUUUACUGGGCGUAAAGGGCGCGUAGGCGGUCGUGACAAGUCACUUGUGAAAUCUCCGGGCUUAACUCGGAACGGUCAAGUGAUACUGUCGGACUAGAGUACAGAAGGGGCAACUGGAAUUCUCGGUGUAGCGGUGAAAUGCGUAGAUAUCGAGAGGAACACCUGCGGCGAAGGCGGGUUGCUGGGCUGAUACUGACGCUGAGGCGCGAAAGCCAGGGGAGCGAACGGG
RNAcentral lists this ribosomal RNA (254 nucleotides) under uncultured bacterium. RNAcentral's name for it is "partial 16S ribosomal RNA". It matches the Rfam family "Bacterial small subunit ribosomal RNA", at positions 524 to 776 of the family's 1533-position model. The record is from RNAcentral.